RNAcentral lists this ribosomal RNA (874 nucleotides) under Alkalibacterium sp. Its description in RNAcentral is "bacterial SSU rRNA". It matches the Rfam family "Bacterial small subunit ribosomal RNA", at positions 56 to 911 of the family's 1533-position model. The record is from RNAcentral. Lineage: Bacteria; Bacillati; Bacillota; Bacilli; Lactobacillales; Carnobacteriaceae.
UGCAAGUCGAACGCUGAAGCACUCUGCUUGCAGAGUGUGGAUGAGUGGCGAACGGGUGAGUAACACGUGGAGAACCUGCCCAUAAGAGGGGGAUAACAUCCGGAAACGGGUGCUAAUACCGCAUAGGUAUCCGACACGCAUGUGUCGGAUAUGAAAGACGGCUUCGGCUGUCGCUUAUGGAUGGCUCCGCGGCGUAUUAGCUAGUUGGUGAGGUAAUGGCUCACCAAGGCAGUGAUACGUAGCCGACCUGAGAGGGUGAUCGGCCACACUGGGACUGAGACACGGCCCAGACUCCUACGGGAGGCAGCAGUAGGGAAUCUUCCACAAUGGGCGCAAGCCUGAUGGAGCAAUGCCGCGUGAAUGAAGAAGGUCUUCGGAUCGUAAAGUUCUGUUAUCGGAGAAGAACACGUCGAGUAGUAACUGGCUCGACCUUGACGGUAUCCGACCAGAAAGUCACGGCUAACUACGUGCCAGCAGCCGCGGUAAUACGUAGGUGACAAGCGUUGUCCGGAUUUAUUGGGCGUAAAGCGAGCGCAGGCGGUCUUUUAAGUCUGAUGUGAAAGCCCACGGCUCAACCGUGGAUGGUCAUUGGAAACUGGAGGACUUGAAUGCAGAAGAGGUAAGUGGAAUUCCAUGUGUAGCGGUGAAAUGCGUAGAUAUAUGGAGGAACACCAGUGGCGAAGGCGACUUACUGGUCUGUUAUUGACGCUGAGGCUCGAAAGCGUGGGGAGCGAACAGGAUUAGAUACCCUGGUAGUCCACGCCGUAACGAUGAGUGCUAAGUGUUGGAGGGUUUCCGCCCUUCAGUGCUGGAGCUAACGCAUUAAGCACUCCGCCUGGGGAGUACGGCCGCAAGGCUGAAACUCAAAGGAAUU